Molecule: ribosomal RNA, 248 nt
Filed under: uncultured Bacteroidota bacterium
Lineage: Bacteria; Pseudomonadati; Bacteroidota
Description: uncultured Bacteroidetes bacterium partial 16S ribosomal RNA
Rfam family: Bacterial small subunit ribosomal RNA
Source: RNAcentral
GGAGCUUGACGGUACUGUAAGAAUAAGGAUCGGCUAACUCCGUGCCAGCAGCCGCGGUAAUACGGAGGAUCCAAGCGUUAUCCGGAAUCAUUGGGUUUAAAGGGUCCGUAGGCGGUUUGGUAAGUCAGUGGUGAAAGCCCAUCGCUCAACGGUGGAACGGCCAUUGAUACUGCCAGACUUGAAUUACUGGGAAGUAACUAGAAUAUGUAGUGUAGCGGUGAAAUGCUUAGAGAUUACAUGGAAUACCA